RNAcentral lists this transfer RNA (74 nucleotides) under Candidatus Iainarchaeum sp. Its description in RNAcentral is "tRNA-Thr". It matches the Rfam family "tRNA". From Rfam's summary of the family: Transfer RNA (tRNA) molecules are approximately 80 nucleotides in length. Their secondary structure includes four short double-helical elements and three loops (D, anti-codon, and T loops). The record is from RNAcentral. Lineage: Archaea; Nanobdellati; Candidatus Iainarchaeota; Candidatus Iainarchaeia; Candidatus Iainarchaeales; Candidatus Iainarchaeaceae.
GCCUCCGUGGCUCAGCCUGGUAGAGCAGCUGACUUGUAAUCAGCAGGUCGCGAGUUCAAAUCUCGCCGGAGGCU